Long non-coding RNA from Helianthus annuus (common sunflower), 616 nucleotides. RefSeq lists it as uncharacterized. NCBI's taxonomy places the organism in Eukaryota, Viridiplantae, Streptophyta, Magnoliopsida, Asterales, Asteraceae. The record is from RefSeq and is a predicted model, not a curated record. The transcript is spliced from 3 exons.
CACCUUUUCAAACACACACAAAUUCUCUCAAACACUUUCAUAUCUUCAUCAACCUACCAAGAACACCAUAGAAAAACCCUUCCAUCAUAUUCAUCUUUCUUAUAAACCACAUGGAUUUUCAUGGAAAUUAAGAAGAUCUAAAGUAUUUGCAAGUUAAAUCAAGCCUUUUCAUCCAUCCAAGAGUCUUCUAACAACAAGAUCUUCAUCUUCUUUGGAUCAUAAGCUCUUUUAGAUCAUCCCUAGCCUAGAGCUAGAAGUCGCAAUACUGUUCAGGACUACCGUACGUGAAAUCAUAUUUACUUCUACUCACUGAAGCGAUACUGGAAUUAGUGGACCUUGUCAGGGAUUCUAAUUCGGGAAACAAGUAUUAAGACUCCGUGCCAUCUUUUGAAGGGUUUAUCUAUUAUACUGCCGCUUUGCGGUGAUAUAGUGGACAAAGCCUUAGUGUUUAAAAUUUUCGUUUUGAAUGUAAGAAAUAAUAACAACUUAGUUUCUUUGAAUGGUUUGUCAAUUAUAAACUUAAUGUAUGUUGCGCAUCUUUUGAGCAAUUAUGGUAAUGGCAAUGGAGUAUGUUUUAUUCAUUUAGUAUGUUUACUUAUAUCAUUAUGCAUUGAGA